RNAcentral lists this ribosomal RNA (1617 nucleotides) under Salmonella enterica. RNAcentral describes it as "bacterial LSU rRNA". It matches the Rfam family "Bacterial large subunit ribosomal RNA", at positions 1223 to 2822 of the family's 2925-position model. Lineage: Bacteria; Pseudomonadati; Pseudomonadota; Gammaproteobacteria; Enterobacterales; Enterobacteriaceae. The record is from RNAcentral.
GUUGGGUAGGGGAGCGUUCUGUAAGCCUGUGAAGGUGGCCUGUGAGGGUUGCUGGAGGUAUCAGAAGUGCGAAUGCUGACAUAAGUAACGAUAAAGCGGGUGAAAAGCCCGCUCGCCGGAAGACCAAGGGUUCCUGUCCAACGUUAAUCGGGGCAGGGUGAGUCGACCCCUAAGGCGAGGCCGAAAGGCGUAGUCGAUGGGAAACGGGUUAAUAUUCCCGUACUUGGUGUUACUGCGAAGGGGGGACGGAGAAGGCUAUGUUGGCCGGGCGACGGUUGUCCCGGUUUAAGCGUGUAGGUGUGUGUUCCAGGUAAAUCCGGUUCACUUUAACACUGAGGCGUGAUGACGAGGCACUACGGUGCUGAAGCAACAAAUGCCCUGCUUCCAGGAAAAGCCUCUAAGCAUCAGGUAACAUCAAAUCGUACCCCAAACCGACACAGGUGGUCAGGUAGAGAAUACCAAGGCGCUUGAGAGAACUCGGGUGAAGGAACUAGGCAAAAUGGUGCCGUAACUUCGGGAGAAGGCACGCUGACAUGUAGGUGAAGUGAUUUACUCAUGGAGCUGAAGUCAGUCGAAGAUACCAGCUGGCUGCAACUGUUUAUUAAAAACACAGCACUGUGCAAACACGAAAGUGGACGUAUACGGUGUGACGCCUGCCCGGUGCCGGAAGGUUAAUUGAUGGGGUCAGCGCAAGCGAAGCUCCUGAUCGAAGCCCCGGUAAACGGCGGCCGUAACUAUAACGGUCCUAAGGUAGCGAAAUUCCUUGUCGGGUAAGUUCCGACCUGCACGAAUGGCGUAAUGAUGGCCAGGCUGUCUCCACCCGAGACUCAGUGAAAUUGAACUCGCUGUGAAGAUGCAGUGUACCCGCGGCAAGACGGAAAGACCCCGUGAACCUUUACUAUAGCUUGACACUGAACAUUGAGCCUUGAUGUGUAGGAUAGGUGGGAGGCUUUGAAGUGUGGACGCCAGUCUGCAUGGAGCCGACCUUGAAAUACCACCCUUUAAUGUUUGAUGUUCUAACGUGGACCCGUAAUCCGGGUUGCGGACAGUGUCUGGUGGGUAGUUUGACUGGGGCGGUCUCCUCCUAAAGAGUAACGGAGGAGCACGAAGGUUGGCUAAUCCUGGUCGGACAUCAGGAGGUUAGUGCAAUGGCAUAAGCCAGCUUGACUGCGAGCGUGACGGCGCGAGCAGGUGCGAAAGCAGGUCAUAGUGAUCCGGUGGUUCUGAAUGGAAGGGCCAUCGCUCAACGGAUAAAAGGUACUCCGGGGAUAACAGGCUGAUACCGCCCAAGAGUUCAUAUCGACGGCGGUGUUUGGCACCUCGAUGUCGGCUCAUCACAUCCUGGGGCUGAAGUAGGUCCCAAGGGUAUGGCUGUUCGCCAUUUAAAGUGGUACGCGAGCUGGGUUUAGAACGUCGUGAGACAGUUCGGUCCCUAUCUGCCGUGGGCGCUGGAGAACUGAGGGGGGCUGCUCCUAGUACGAGAGGACCGGAGUGGACGCAUCACUGGUGUUCGGGUUGUCAUGCCAAUGGCACUGCCCGGUAGCUAAAUGCGGAAGAGAUAAGUGCUGAAAGCAUCUAAGCACGAAACUUGCCCCGAGAUGAGUUCUCCCUGAGACU